RNAcentral lists this long non-coding RNA (678 nucleotides) under Mus spretus (western wild mouse). RNAcentral describes it as "lncRNA (ENSMSPG00010044049.1)". The record is from RNAcentral. Lineage: Eukaryota; Metazoa; Chordata; Mammalia; Rodentia; Muridae.
GGGCUCGCCGGGGCGAGUGUGCGCCCCAGCUCUGCCUGGUGUGUUUGGAGGAACACGUGGGUAUGGCAGCGCGUGGACCCUGAGCACGCAAGGAUGUGAGUGUGCGAGUAAGUGUGCCUCGAGAAAGUUCACGUGUGCGAGACCCUGCGCACAUGCAUGGUGAGUGUUGUGGCGAGUGCCAGAGCAGAGGCCACCAAGAGGCUGGCGGGUAGGGUUGCUGCACGUGGCCUCGUGGGAAGCAUGCGGCUAAUGUGCGCCCAGUGCACGAGACAAUUUACUUUGAGGGCCUACAAGUACCUAGCCUUGGAGGAUGUUGUUUGAGGGUGCGGAACAGAGGGGUUCGAAGCCACUCCAAGUAUGUGUAGCACUUUGCAGGCUGCACUCCACAAGGUGUCUUCCUAAAGCUGCUGGAUGGAAGCGGUAGCUGACGUUUGUGCCCGGGACUCAGGCUUUUGGAACACGCACGGAUCUGUGGGACAGUGUGGACCCAGAACGACUAGGUGUGCAGAGAGAUGCGCGAAGGGACAGCGGCCCUGAGGCCUUGAGGUUCUUUGGAGUCUCUGGACAAGAACCCCCUUCCCCUCCUGUCUGCUGGUCCCUCCACCCGAAGAAGUCUGCCUAUGGCCAAAUAGCAUCCAUUAGACGGAUCCAGGAUCGUGGACUGUGGGGCUUGUGUGU